Schizosaccharomyces pombe (fission yeast) is the source of this 778-nucleotide non-coding RNA. The record is from the annotation of a GenBank genome assembly. NCBI's taxonomy places the organism in Eukaryota, Fungi, Ascomycota, Schizosaccharomycetes, Schizosaccharomycetales, Schizosaccharomycetaceae.
UCCGCCCUAAAACCUACAUCAUCCAUACCACCUGUCUCUCCAUCAUAUUCAGGAGAUGUGAUCCAUAAUGCUCCAUAUUGGCUAACGUGUAAAGUCUGAAUUUCCCCUGAAGAACUCUCUACAAAAGUGAAGGUUCCGUUAUUAUUUUUGAUAAUGUCAAAGGAUGAAUCUGGAUCAUCAGUGUAUAUCGUAUAUACAGGUCGUACGCAAUCACAAGUUAAUAUUCUUUCGACAGUAGGAUCAUAAUAAAAAACAUUAACUGCUUCGGUGUUUCCCUCAGUAGAUGUGUACAUGUUACCUUCGUCUGGAUCGGACACAUUAGUAUUCUUAUAAACAUAUGAAGGAUUGAUUGAAUCACCCACGAGUCUCAAGUGAAAUGAGUUCUCUGGAUUGCAUCCACAAGACGGUGUGAUAACCUCCACUAAACCUGACUGAGUUCCAGAAACUGUUUGUAAUGUGGUUGUUGAGACAGGGUAACUAGAUCCAGAAGUCAACGUAGUCGUAAUAUAACCAGCAGUCGGAAUUACCACUUCAACAGUGUCAAUACUUUGAUCAACAAACGUAGUGGUAAAUUGCGUUGAACCAGAAAUGAUAGUGGUUGUAAUGGUACUGGCAGAAAUUGAGGAACUUGAUGGGAUAGUUGAAUUAGAAAGAAUAGAUGAACUAGUCGGGGUGGAAGAAGUUGUCGGCACCGGUGAAGUGGUAGGGAUAGUUGAAUUAGAGAGAAUAGAUGAGCUGGUGGGAACAGAAGCUGUGAUCGGGGUAGAUGAACUAGUAG